GAGAAGAAUAGCAGCAAUUCUAGGAAUAGCAAAGCGACCACAUUCUGAAGGUAGGACUUGUGGAGAAUGUGAAUCCAAAGCGAUGGGAAGAUAGACCGCAGGGGGAGGGG
This is a long non-coding RNA of Mustela erminea (ermine), 110 nucleotides long. RefSeq lists it as uncharacterized. NCBI's taxonomy places the organism in Eukaryota, Metazoa, Chordata, Mammalia, Carnivora, Mustelidae. The transcript has 3 exons. The record is from RefSeq and is a predicted model, not a curated record.